UCAUGCCCUGCAUGAAUCCCGGAUGUGAGUCCGCCAGUGACGGCGGUUCACGCCUGCGCAGAAGGGGCGCUUGGCUCGUCAGAAUGACGCAGGCCGGCAUUGACCAAUAGAAAUGGGCCACGUCACCCGAGAGGCUAUAAAAGGCAGGCUCGCAUCCGGCUCGGGGUCUUUCCGCCAUUUUGAAGAAUGUAGAAGAAACUCCAAUAAAGCGUGCAUCAGAAGAAUCCUGAGUGUUGCGUGUUCCUUGCUGGCGAGGUGCGCGUGACAAGUGGUGCCGAAACCCGGGAAGCGACGACCAUUAACCGGCAUCAGCGGAGACCCCUGACUUCAGGAGGAUUCAGAACUGAGCAGCAGGAGGGGAGGAUCCACCAACUUUCCGAGAGCUUCAGUAGCAGUGCAGUUAUGCACAGCACUCAACAUGCUUCCCUUGGGAAAUGCAGCGGGGGAAGGGCCACGCCUACAAGCAGAGGAUGUGAACAGGAGUGAAGAGAAGACUGCAAAUGCAGGGGUAAGACAUGAGUGCAGACUUGAGCCCCUGAAAAGGAGAAAGGACAGCAUGAACAGAAGAAUGGUCAGGGAAGCUGUUGGCUUCGACAAUGCCACAUGCAAGAUCAGAGUGGCCCAGAUAUCACAGAGCUGUUGGCAGAGCAGCAGGCUUCUCCAGCUAAUUCCAAAGUUCCCUCUUGGGUAUGGGUCUGGAAGAAGGAAAGAGAGAGAAGAA
This 721-nucleotide long non-coding RNA is filed under the name Fukomys damarensis (Damara mole-rat). RNAcentral describes it as "lncRNA (ENSFDAG00000025373.1)". Lineage: Eukaryota; Metazoa; Chordata; Mammalia; Rodentia; Bathyergidae. The record is from RNAcentral.